CCGACCGUCACGAAGAUUGGGCGAACAUCAGAGGGGAUCCGGGUUCCUGGGGUCAUCGCCGCCUCCCCCCGACUGCCCUAAACCCCACCGGGACCGGGAGCUCCCGACCCUCACCGCCGGUUCUCCCACCCCUCGCCUUGCUCCUCUGCACGCUGUUUACAGCCGUCAUCUCUGGGGGCACUCUUCCUACUUUUUGUGUCAGUAUUUUGAUGUGGAUUGAUGGCCAGUAAUAUGCAGCCUUCUGGGCCACCUCAGCCUCCCAGGCCUCCCAUGAUGGGUUCUAACGCUCAGCCACAAAAUCUUGGGCCACCAAUGCCUAUGCAGUUUAGGCCAGUGGUUCCUUCGCAACAGCCUCCUCAGUUCAUGCCACCACCAGCGCAGCAGUUUCGGCCUGUUGGUCAGCCUAUGCCGGGAGCUAACAUUGGCAUGCCAGGGCAAAUGCCACAUUUUCCACAACCUGGACAGCAUUUGUCUCAUUCAAGUCAGGUUCCACCUGCAUCACAAGGGGUUCCUAUGGCAUAUCAGCCAGCUAGACCAAUGUCAUCAGCACCUAUGCAGCCGCAGCAACAAGCUGUGUAUCCUGGGGGCCAUAUGCCUACCAUGGGCGCCCCUAUGCAGCCCCCAUCCUAUACUUAUCAACCAACUUCGAUUCCUCCUGUAGUGCAACCCUGGGGACAGAGUGUGCCUCAUGUGACUCCUCUAGUGCAGCCUGGACACCAGCCGGUGCCAGCAACAGCUACUUUGCCUUCAGUCAACUCGUCUGAACCUAGCUCUUCAGAUUGGCAAGAACACACUGCGGCUGAGGGGAAGAAGUACUACUAUAAUAAGAAGACUAGGCAAUCAAGUUGGGAGAAACCUGUCGAAUUGAUGACACCUUUGGAGAGGGCUGACGCCUCAACCGAAUGGAAAGAAUUUACUACUCCAGAAGGACGAAAGUACUAUUUCAACAAAGUAACAAAGCAAUCAAAAUGGACUAUUCCUGAUGAGUUAAAGGCUGCACGUGAAUUGGCAGAGAAGGCAUCAAAUCAACAAUCGGAUCGAGAAACAGGAACAGCUGCAGCUCUUGUUGGAUCUGCUGCCUCUGAACCUUCUACUGUACCUGCUAAUCAGUCUUCAACUGCAGUUGGUUUAAUUGCUCCCAGCACGCAUGAUGCAUCAGCAAACCCUGUUCCUCCUGGUCCUGUCCCAUCACAUAAUGUGGACAACACUUCCAGUUCUUCUACUAUUGGCAUGCAAAAUGGUGGUACAAGUACUGCUGUUGUUCCUGUUCCAACAAGCACAGAAGUUAAAUUAGUUGCAACCGAUGCAGGGACCAGCAGAAACAAUAAUGAAAGUUCAUCUGUAACAACUGGUGCGGACAUAGAAGAUGGUACAUCUGCUGAAGAUUUGGAGGAGGCCAAAAAGACCAUGCCAGUUGCAGGGAAGAUUAAUGUCACUCCACUGGAGGAGAAAACAAGUGAAGAAGAACCUGUAGUCUAUGCCACUAAGACGGAGGCAAAAAAUGCAUUCAAGUCCCUGCUCGAGUCAGUAAAUGUUGAGUCUGAUUGGACAUGGGAGCAGACUAUGAGAGUCAUCAUAAAUGACAAAAGAUAUGGAGCUUUGAAAACUCUUGGAGAGAGAAAGCAAGCUUUCAAUGAGUACUUGAACCAGCGAAAAAAGUUUGAAGCUGAAGAAAAACGUAUCAAACAGAGGAAAGCACGUGAUGAUUUCCUUGCAAUGCUGGAAGAGUGCAAGGAGCUUACGUCAUCAACAAGAUGGAGCAAAGCAAUUCUUAUGUUUGACGAUGAUGAAAGGUUCAAAGCUGUUGAACGUCCAAGGGAGCGUGAAGAUUUAUUUGAGGGCUAUCUUGUGGAACUACAUAAGAAGGAAAAAGCCAAGGCUAUCGAAGAACACAGAAGGCAUGUAGCAGAAUACAAAGCUUUUCUAGAAUCAUGCGACUUCAUCAAGGCAACUACUCAGUGGAGAAAAGUUCAAGAACGGCUGGAAGAUGAUGAACGCUGUUCUCGACUUGAAAAGAUCGAUCGCUUGAAUGUUUUUCAAGACUACAUACGGUAUCUGGAGAAAGAGGAGGAAGAGCAGAAGCGAAUACAAAAGGAACACGUAAGAAGGCAAGAGAGAAAAAACCGUGAUGGAUUUCGUAAAAUGCUGGAAGAACAUGUCAAUGAUGGCACACUUACUGCAAAAACUCGGUGGCGUGAUUACUGCUCACAGAUAAAGGAGUCACAGGCUUACCUGGCAGUGGCGUCAAACACGUCUGGCUCCACGCCAAAAGAGCUAUUUGAUGAUGUGAUCGAGGAACUUGAUAAACAGUAUCUAGAUGACAAGACCUGCAUCAAAGAAGUGGUGAAGUCUGGAAAGAUUCCAAUGACAACCUCAUGGACAUUGGAGGAAUUUCAAACUGCAAUUCUGGAGGAUGAUGCUCUUAAAGGAAUAUCAACCAUCAACAUCAAGCUUAUUUAUGAUGAUCAGAUUGAAAGGCUCAGGGAAAAAGAGCAAAAGGAUGCUAAGAAGCGCCAGCGAUUGGGUGAAAAUUUUUCAGAUCUUCUGUACUCAAUCACGGAAAUAUCAGCUGCUUCAACGUGGGAUGAUUCUAAACAGCUAUUUGAGGACAGCCAAGAGUUCAGGGCCUUGGACAGUGAGACUUACGCUAGAGAGCUUUUUGAAGAGUGUGUUGUCCACCUGAAGGAAAGGUUAAAAGAGAAAGAACGUUUGAGGGAGGAAGAAAAGGCAAAAAGAGAGAAAGACCGUGAAGAGAAAGAGAAGAAGAAAGAGAAAGAAAGGAAGGAGAAAGAGCGCAAAGAAAAAGACCGGGAGAAGGAGAGAGAGAAGGAAAAAGGGAAGGAUCGAUCAAGGAGAGAUGAAACUGAUAUUGAUGGUGCUGAUGUGGAGAACCAUGGUUCAAAAGAUAAGAAAAGAGAUAAACAAAAGAAACAUAAGAGACGCCACCAUGACACAGAUGAUGCUAGUUCUGAAAGGGAUGAUAAAGAUGAUGCUAAGAAAUCUCGGAGGCAUACCAGUGAUCGCAAGAAAUCUAGGAAGCAUACACAUGCUUCAGACUCGGAUAGUGAAAACCGGCACAAACGACAUAGAAAGGACCGAGAUAGUUCCCGAAGAAAUGGUGCACAUGAGCUGGAAGAUGGUGAACUUGGAGAAGACGGCGAGGUCCAUUAGUCUCCUUUUGCUGCCAAGAUUCCCCUGGAUAUUGCUCUGCUGCCUCUGACACAGCUGCUGGGGGGGCAUGGACGUGGCAAUUGCAAUAGCCCAAGCAUGGCACACCUUCUGUCUGUGCUGAGGUAACAGGUUGAAGUUACUCAGUUUUCAACAAGUCUGGUACAUGUAAAUCUGAUGCAUUCGGACGAGGCUGUUAUCUUGUCACGAAAAUGUUGGGCGUUCGAUUUUGUCACAAAUGUCAGGAUAGUUGAUGUAGGAAGAGUUAGUGUGUUCCUUGUACUGGGGUUUUGUUUCUGUUGGAAAUAUUUCAGGAUUGUUAAUUUUGGGAUAGUCA
Molecule: RNA transcript, 3505 nt
Organism: Setaria italica (foxtail millet)
Lineage: Eukaryota; Viridiplantae; Streptophyta; Magnoliopsida; Poales; Poaceae
Gene name: pre-mRNA-processing protein 40A
Exons: 31
Source: RefSeq, a predicted model, not a curated record